UAAGGGCGACAUAGUUGCUGGGCGUAGACCCGAAACCAAGUGAUCUAUCCAUGGCCAGGAUGAAGGUGCGGUAACACGCACUGGAGGUCCGAACCCACUAAUUUGAAAAAUUAGGGGAUGAGCUGUGGAUAGGGGUGAAAGGCUAAACAAACUUGGAAAUAGCUGGUUCUCCCCGAAAACUAUUUAGGUAGUGCCUCGUGCGGACACUUCCGGGGGUAGAGCACUGUAAUCGUUGGGGGGUCAUUGCGAUCUACCCCGCGAUAGCAAACUCCGAAUACCGGAAAGUGAUACACGGGAGACAGACGGUGGGUGCUAACGUCCAUCGUCAAGAGGGAAACAACCCAGACCGCCAGCUAAGGUCCCAAAUCCAUGGCUAAGUGGAAAACGAGGUGGGAAGGCAUAGACAGCUAGGAGGUUGGCUUAGAAGCAGCCACCCUUUAAAGAAAGCGUAAUAGCUCACUAGUCGAGUCGUCCUGCGCGGAAGAUGUAACGGGGCUCAAGCCAUGAACCGAAGCUGCGGAUGCAUUUUAUGCAUGGUAGGGGAGC
This 546-nucleotide ribosomal RNA is filed under the name uncultured bacterium. RNAcentral's name for it is "bacterial LSU rRNA". It matches the Rfam family "Bacterial large subunit ribosomal RNA", at positions 687 to 1237 of the family's 2925-position model. The record is from RNAcentral.